AAAAAAAAUAAACACUGGUUUCCGUGUCCAACGUUUUACCGUCCGUCUUAUUUAAAAAUAUUAUGAAAAAAAUUAAAAAGAUAAGUCACGUAUAAAGUAUUAAUUAUGUUUUAUCAUCUAACAACAAUGAAAAUACUAAUUAUAAAAAAAAAUUCGGACAGUCAAACGUUGGCACGGAAAUUCAGGGUUUGUCUUUUU
Molecule: non-coding RNA, 198 nt
Organism: Oryza barthii
Lineage: Eukaryota; Viridiplantae; Streptophyta; Magnoliopsida; Poales; Poaceae
Source: Rfam